Molecule: ribosomal RNA, 1468 nt
Filed under: Bacillus licheniformis
Lineage: Bacteria; Bacillati; Bacillota; Bacilli; Caryophanales; Bacillaceae
Description: bacterial SSU rRNA
Rfam family: Bacterial small subunit ribosomal RNA
Source: RNAcentral
AGUCGAGCGGACCGACGGGAGCUUGCUCCCUUAGGUCAGCGGCGGACGGGUGAGUAACACGUGGGUAACCUGCCUGUAAGACUGGGAUAACUCCGGGAAACCGGGGCUAAUACCGGAUGCUUGAUUGAACCGCAUGGUUCAAUCAUAAAAGGUGGCUUUUAGCUACCACUUACAGAUGGACCCGCGGCGCAUUAGCUAGUUGGUGAGGUAACGGCUCCCCAAGGCCACGAUGCGUAGCCGACCUGAGAGGGUGAUCGGCCACACUGGGACUGAAACACGGCCCAAACUCCUACGGGAGGCAGCAGUAGGGAAUCUUCCGCAAUGGACGAAAGUCUGACGGAACAACGCCGCGUGAGUGAUGAAGGUUUUCGGAUCGUAAAACUCUGUUGUUAGGGAAGAACAAGUACCGUUCGAAUAGGGCGGCACCUUGACGGUACCUAACCAGAAAGCCACGGCUAACUACGUGCCAGCAGCCGCGGUAAUACGUAGGUGGCAAGCGUUGUCCGGAAUUAUUGGGCGUAAAGCGCGCGCAGGCGGUUUCUUAAAGUCUGAUGUGAAAAGCCCCCCGGGCUCAACCGGGGGAGGGGUCAUUGGAAAACUGGGGGAAACUUUGAAGUGCCAGAAAGAAGGAGAAGUGGGAAUUUCCACGUGGUAAGCGGGUGAAAAUGCCGUAGAAGGAUGUGGGAAGGAAACACCCAGUGGGCGAAAGGCGAACUCCUCUGGGUCUGGUAAACUGGACGCCUGAAGGCGCCGAAAAGCCGUGGGGGAAGCGAAACAGGGAUUUAGAAUACCCCUGGGUAAGUCCCACCGCCCGUAAAAACGAAUGAAGUGGCUAAAGUGGUUAAAAGGGUUUCCGCCCUUUAGUGCUGCAGCAAACGCAUUAAGCACUCCGCCUGGGGAGUACGGUCGCAAGACUGAAACUCAAAGGAAUUGACGGGGGCCCGCACAAGCGGUGGAGCAUGUGGUUUAAUUCGAAGCAACGCGAAGAACCUUACCAGGUCUUGACAUCCUCUGACAACCCUAGAGAUAGGGCUUCCCCUUCGGGGGCAGAGUGACAGGUGGUGCAUGGUUGUCGUCAGCUCGUGUCGUGAGAUGUUGGGUUAAGUCCCGCAACGAGCGCAACCCUUGAUCUUAGUUGCCAGCAUUCAGUUGGGCACUCUAAGGUGACUGCCGGUGACAAACCGGAGGAAGGUGGGGAUGACGUCAAAUCAUCAUGCCCCUUAUGACCUGGGCUACACACGUGCUACAAUGGGCAGAACAAAGGGCAGCGAAGCCGCGAGGCUAAGCCAAUCCCACAAAUCUGUUCUCAGUUCGGAUCGCAGUCUGCAACUCGACUGCGUGAAGCUGGAAUCGCUAGUAAUCGCGGAUCAGCAUGCCGCGGUGAAUACGUUCCCGGGCCUUGUACACACCGCCCGUCACACCACGAGAGUUUGUAACACCCGAAGUCGGUGAGGUAACCUUUUGGAGC